GGAGGGAAACCGAGUCUUAAUUGGGCGUUAAGUUGCAGGGUAUAGACCCGAAACCCGGUGAUCUAGCCAUGGGCAGGUUGAAGGUUGGGUAACACUAACUGGAGGACCGAACCGACUAAUGUUGAAAAAUUAGCGGAUGACCUGUGGCUGGGGGUGAAAGGCCAAUCAAACCGGGAGAUAGCUGGUUCUCCCCGAAAGCUAUUUAGGUAGCGCCUCGUGAAUUCAUCUCCGGGGGUAGAGCACUGUUUCGGCCAGGGGGCCAUCCCGGCUUACCAAUCCGAUGCAAACUGCGAAUACCGGAGAAUGUUAUCACGGGAGACACACGGCGGGUGCUAACGUCCGUCGUGAAGAGGGAAACAACCCAGACCGCCAGCUAAGGUCCCAAAGUCAUGGUUAAGUGGGAAACGAUGUGGGAAGGCCCAGACAGCCAGGAUGUUGGCUUAGAAGCAGCCAUCAUUUAAAGAAAGCGUAAUAGCUCACUGGUCGAGUCGGCCUGCGCGGAAGAUGUAACGGGGCUAAACCAU
RNAcentral lists this ribosomal RNA (524 nucleotides) under Salmonella enterica. RNAcentral's name for it is "partial 23S ribosomal RNA". It matches the Rfam family "Bacterial large subunit ribosomal RNA", at positions 668 to 1190 of the family's 2925-position model. Lineage: Bacteria; Pseudomonadati; Pseudomonadota; Gammaproteobacteria; Enterobacterales; Enterobacteriaceae. The record is from RNAcentral. RNAcentral also lists the same sequence under 2 other names.